This 380-nucleotide ribosomal RNA is filed under the name uncultured eukaryote. Its description in RNAcentral is "SSU rRNA". It matches the Rfam family "Eukaryotic small subunit ribosomal RNA", at positions 587 to 969 of the family's 1831-position model. The record is from RNAcentral.
AGCUCCAAUAGCGUAUAUUAAAGUUGUUGCAGUUAAAAAGCUCGUAGUUGAAUUUCUGAUAGAAGGGAGCGGUUCCGCAUUCUUGCGGAUACUUGCUCGUCUUCCGUCAUCCUUGGGCUUAGUCUCGCUGAUAUUAACUUAUCGGCGUGUACGAUGCCCAUCGUUUACUGUGAGCAAAUUAGAGUGUUCAAAGCAGGCAUAUGCCGUUGAAUAUAUUAGCAUGGAAUAAUAAGAUAGGACUUUUCGACUAUUUUGUUGGUUUGCGUUGUGAAGUAAUGAUUAAGAGGGACAGUUGUGGGUAUUCGUAUUCAGAUGUCAGAGGUGAAAUUCUUAGAUUAUCGGAAGACGAACGACUGCGAAAGCAUUUACCAAGGAUGUUU